GACAGAGGAUGCAAGCGUUAUCCGGAAUGAUUGGGCAUAAAGCGUCUGUAGGUGGCUUUUCAAGUCCGCCGUCAAAUCCCAGGGCUCAACCCUGGACAGGCGGUGGAAACUACCAAGCUGGAGUACGAUAGGGGCAGAGGGAAUUUCCGGUGGAGCGGUGAAAUGCAUUGAGAUCGGAAAGAACACCAACGGCGAAAGCACUCUGCUGGGUCGACAUUGACACUGAGAGACGAAAGCUAGGGGAGCAAAUGGG
Molecule: ribosomal RNA, 253 nt
Filed under: uncultured bacterium
Lineage: Bacteria
Description: partial 16S ribosomal RNA
Rfam family: Bacterial small subunit ribosomal RNA
Source: RNAcentral